RNAcentral lists this ribosomal RNA (257 nucleotides) under Lactococcus lactis subsp. lactis. Its description in RNAcentral is "partial 16S ribosomal RNA". It matches the Rfam family "Bacterial small subunit ribosomal RNA", at positions 64 to 311 of the family's 1533-position model. Lineage: Bacteria; Bacillati; Bacillota; Bacilli; Lactobacillales; Streptococcaceae. The record is from RNAcentral.
GAGCGCUGAAGGUUGGUACUUGUACCGACUGGAUGAGCAGCGAACGGGUGAGUAACGCGUGGGGAAUCUGCCUUUGAGCGGGGGACAACAUUUGGAAACGAAUGCUAAUACCGCAUAACAACUUUAAACACAAGUUUUAAGUUUGAAAGAUGCAAUUGCAUCACUCAAAGAUGAUCCCGCGUUGUAUUAGCUAGUUGGUGAGGUAAAGGCUCACCAAGGCGAUGAUACAUAGCCGACCUGAGAGGGUGAUCGGCCAC